UUAAGGGAGACCUACCCAACUUAUUGAUUCGAUUGCUAUUAUUAAUAGUAGUUGAGAUAAGAUCGAUGAGAUGGUCAACCGAAGGUCGUUGGGGAUUGGAGAAAAGGCUUUCAAACUAUAUUUCGUUUUUUUACGAAAUGAUUCAGCACCGAAGCUAAAAACUAAUGGUAUUAGUUUCUAGUUUAGAAUGCUGAAAUUGAUUUCAGCCAGAACCAUGAAAACUGCAUAGUGACGUAAAUGUAAUGUAGGUAGUAAUCAAACACUAUCGAACAAUUUAUCGGUUGGUAACAACUGAGCGAUUGAUUCAGGAGAAUUUGAUUGAUGACGUAUAUUCACAGACAAAAAAAUUGAUUUGAUGAAUU
This 362-nucleotide unclassified non-coding RNA is filed under the name Macrochaete psychrophila ANT SPH 13/96. RNAcentral's name for it is "16S-23S ribosomal RNA intergenic spacer". The record is from RNAcentral. Lineage: Bacteria; Bacillati; Cyanobacteriota; Cyanophyceae; Nostocales; Calotrichaceae.